Mustela erminea (ermine) is the source of this 101-nucleotide long non-coding RNA. RefSeq lists it as uncharacterized. The transcript has 4 exons. The record is from RefSeq and is a predicted model, not a curated record. NCBI's taxonomy places the organism in Eukaryota, Metazoa, Chordata, Mammalia, Carnivora, Mustelidae.
UUUUCUUUUCUUUUCUUUUUUUUUUUUUUUAAGAUUUGCUUAUUUAUUCUAGAGAGGGAGCAAGCGAGAGCAAGCACAGGCAGACAGAGAGGCAGGCAGAG